Leptonychotes weddellii (Weddell seal) is the source of this 488-nucleotide long non-coding RNA. RefSeq lists it as uncharacterized. NCBI's taxonomy places the organism in Eukaryota, Metazoa, Chordata, Mammalia, Carnivora, Phocidae. The record is from RefSeq and is a predicted model, not a curated record.
ACUACAUGGGGGGGACACCAUGCAAUUUCUACUGUUAAGAGGGAACAAGAAAUAGUCUGGCAUUUCCUCAAGGGUUAAACAUGGGGUUGGCCUAUGACCCAGCGAUGCCGUUGCUAGGCAUGGCAGGACUGGAAUGUGAGGACAUUGCUGGGACACCCUGUCUUGAGGAUGACUGCCUGCUGUCUGUGUCCUUACACGGUGGAGAGAAAGAGAAAGACAUGGUGUGUGCAGAGGAGUCUCAUAAGGAUGCUAACCUCAUCAUGAGGACGCCACCCUCGUGACUUCAUCUCAACCUAAUCACCUCCUGAAGGCCCCUCCUCCAAAUACCAUCCCACUGGGGGUCAGGGCUGUGACACAUGAAUCUGGGGCAGGGGCACACACAUUCAGUCCAUUAAUAGCCAGGCUGGGGAAAGUUUUAAAGAGAUUUACGUAAUAAAGAAAGUGGUAUACAUAUUUACAUAUGUAGUUACCAUUUCUGACAUUCUUAA